AACCCUUUAUUACAGGCAUACUGGCAACACUUCUGUAAUAAAGCCUAAAAUUUAAAGGAGAAUGAAAUAAUUAAGGCAAUUCCUUAAAUAGAUUUGGCUACUAAGUUCACCAGCCUGCAAUAGCUGCAAUGGCAUCCCCUUGGCCCCGCCAUGCCCAGCACAGAGGAAUAAAAUAACUUCAGUGGUAAUUACUAAGUCAAUUUCACAAGGAAGAGAGCUGGAUAUGGAGUUGAUUUUCAUCUGAAAGCCAACCAAAAGGCUUUAGGCCUGAGCAGCUGCCAGCCUGGAGCAAGGGCCUGUGCUCAAGACAGUUCCACGUAGAAUCGGCAGCCAGGGAGCACAGGCUGGCCGGAGAAGGGCACUAAAGGAUACACUGCCAUCUUCAAUCAGGAACACCUCUCUGCCCAUGGCCCCGAGAGGACCCUGGGAGCACUGUGAUGUCAGCCAUUCAAUGGCUAGAAGUCUGUGGAGAUAACUGAGAAAGCAAUGAAGCAAUAACACAGAAUUGAGGAUGGCAGUUACCUGGGGACAAAACAUACUGAGGAAAGCCACACUUUCGUCUAGACAAAAUACAGAAAAUACUGUACCUACUUACUAAACCUAA
This is a long non-coding RNA of Mastomys coucha (southern multimammate mouse), 604 nucleotides long. RefSeq lists it as uncharacterized. The record is from RefSeq and is a predicted model, not a curated record. Lineage: Eukaryota; Metazoa; Chordata; Mammalia; Rodentia; Muridae. The transcript is spliced from 2 exons.